AUUGAACGCUGGCGGCAGGCCUAACACAUGCAAGUCGAGCGGAUGAAGGGAGCUUGCUCCUGGAUUCAGCGGCGGACGGGUGAGUAAUGCCUAGGAAUCUGCCUGGUAGUGGGGGAUAACGUCCGGAAACGGGCGCUAAUACCGCAUACGUCCUGAGGGAGAAAGUGGGGGAUCUUCGGACCUCACGCUAUCAGAUGAGCCUAGGUCGGAUUAGCUAGUUGGUGGGGUAAAGGCCUACCAAGGCGACGAUCCGUAACUGGUCUGAGAGGAUGAUCAGUCACACUGGAACUGAGGCACGGUCCAGACUCCUACGGGAGGCAGCAGUGGGGAAUAUUGGACAAUGGGCGAAAGCCUGGUCCAGCCAUGCCGCGUGUGUGAAGAAGGUCUUCGGAUUGUAAAGCACUUUAAGUUGGGAGGAAGGGCAGUAAGUUAAUACCUUGCUGUUUUGACGUUACCAACAGAAUAAGCACCGGCUAACUUCGUG
Molecule: ribosomal RNA, 484 nt
Filed under: uncultured bacterium
Lineage: Bacteria
Description: partial 16S ribosomal RNA
Rfam family: Bacterial small subunit ribosomal RNA
Source: RNAcentral